Molecule: ribosomal RNA, 503 nt
Filed under: uncultured bacterium
Lineage: Bacteria
Description: partial 16S ribosomal RNA
Rfam family: Bacterial small subunit ribosomal RNA
Source: RNAcentral
GACGAACGCUGGCGGCGUGUUUAAGACAUGCAAGUCGCACGGGAUAAGACAUGUAGUAAUACUUGUUUUAUUUAGUGGCGCACGGGUGAGUAACACGUGAAUUACAUGCCCUAUAGUGGGGAAUAGCCCAGGGAAACUUGGAUUAAUACCCCAUGGUAUCGAAAGAUUAAAGGUGGCCGCAAGGCUGUCGCUAUAGGAUUGGUUCGCGCCCUAUCAGCUUGUUGGUGAGGUAACGGCUCACCAAGGCAAUGACGGGUACCUGGUCUGAGAGGACGAUCAGGCACACUGGAACUGGGACACGGUCCAGACACCUACGGGUGGCAGCAGUCGAGAAUAAUUCACAAUGGGGGCAACCCUGAUGGUGCAACGCCGCGUGAAGGAUGACGGUCUUCGGAUUGUAAACUCCUGUCAUCUGGGAGAAAGACCUGACGGUAAAUAGCCGGCAGGGUUGAUAGUACCAGAAGAGGAAGGGACGGCUAACUUCGUGCCAGCCGCCGCCGUAA